GACGAACGCUGGCGGCGUGCUUAACACAUGCGAGUCGUACGGUAAGGCCCUUUCGGGGGUACACGGGUGGCGAACGGGUGAGUAACACGUGAGUAACCUGCCCACAACUUUGGGAUAACGCUAGGAAACUGGUGCUAAUACUGGAUAUGUGCUCCUGCUGCAUGGUGGGGGUUGGAAAGCUCCGGCGGUUGUGGAUGGACUCGCGGCCUAUCAGCUUGUUGGUGGGGUAGUGGCCUACCAAGGCGGCGACGGGUAGCCGGCCUGAGAGGGUGACCGGCCACAUUGGGACUGAGAUACGGCCCAGACUCCUACGGGAGGCAGCAGUGGGGAAUAUUGCACAAUGGGCGCAAGCCUGAUGCAGCAACGCCGCGUGCGGGAUGACGGCCUUCGGGUUGUAAACCGCUUUCAGCAGGGACGAAGCUUUUUGUGACGGUACCUGCAGAAGAAGCACCGGCUAACUACGUG
This 465-nucleotide ribosomal RNA is filed under the name uncultured bacterium. Its description in RNAcentral is "partial 16S ribosomal RNA". It matches the Rfam family "Bacterial small subunit ribosomal RNA", at positions 28 to 507 of the family's 1533-position model. The record is from RNAcentral.